AACGCGAAGAACCUUACCUGGGCUCGAAAUGUAGUGGACCGGAGUAGAAAUAUUCCUUCUCAGCAAUGGGCCGCUAUAUAGGUGCUGCAUGGCUGUCGUCAGCUCGUGUCGUGAGAUGUUGGGUUAAGUCCCGCAACGAGCGCAACCCUUAUCCCCAGUUGCCAUCAUUUAGUUGGGCACUCUGGUGAAACCGCCUCGGAUAACGGGGAGGAAGGUGGGGAUGACGUCAAGUCCUCAUGGCCUUUAUGUCCAGGGCUACACACGUGCUACAAUGGCCGGUACAAACCGUCGCAAACCCGCGAGGGGGAGCUAAUCGGAAAAAGCCGGCCUCAGUUCGGAUUAGAGUCUGCAACUCGACUCUAUGAAGCUGGAAUCGCUAGUAAUCGCGGAUCAGAACGCCGCGGUGAAUACGUUCCCGGGCCUUGUA
This 427-nucleotide ribosomal RNA is filed under the name uncultured Acidobacterium sp. RNAcentral describes it as "bacterial SSU rRNA". It matches the Rfam family "Bacterial small subunit ribosomal RNA", at positions 958 to 1385 of the family's 1533-position model. The record is from RNAcentral. Lineage: Bacteria; Pseudomonadati; Acidobacteriota; Terriglobia; Terriglobales; Acidobacteriaceae.